Molecule: ribosomal RNA, 1361 nt
Filed under: Escherichia coli
Lineage: Bacteria; Pseudomonadati; Pseudomonadota; Gammaproteobacteria; Enterobacterales; Enterobacteriaceae
Description: partial 23S ribosomal RNA
Rfam family: Bacterial large subunit ribosomal RNA
Source: RNAcentral
UUCCAGGAAAAGCCUCUAAGCAUCAGGUAACAUCAAAUCGUACCCCAAACCGACACAGGUGGUCAGGUAGAGAAUACCAAGGCGCUUGAGAGAACUCGGGUGAAGGAACUAGGCAAAAUGGUGCCGUAACUUCGGGAGAAGGCACGCUGAUAUGUAGGUGAAGUCCCUCGCGGAUGGAGCUGAAAUCAGUCGAAGAUACCAGCUGGCUGCAACUGUUUAUUAAAAACACAGCACUGUGCAAACACGAAAGUGGACGUAUACGGUGUGACGCCUGCCCGGUGCCGGAAGGUUAAUUGAUGGGGUCAGCGCAAGCGAAGCUCUUGAUCGAAGCCCCGGUAAACGGCGGCCGUAACUAUAACGGUCCUAAGGUAGCGAAAUUCCUUGUCGGGUAAGUUCCGACCUGCACGAAUGGCGUAAUGAUGGCCAGGCUGUCUCCACCCGAGACUCAGUGAAAUUGAACUCGCUGUGAAGAUGCAGUGUACCCGCGGCAAGACGGAAAGACCCCGUGAACCUUUACUAUAGCUUGACACUGAACAUUGAGCCUUGAUGUGUAGGAUAGGUGGGAGGCUUUGAAGUGUGGACGCCAGUCUGCAUGGAGCCGACCUUGAAAUACCACCCUUUAAUGUUUGAUGUUCUAACGUUGACCCGUGAUCCGGGUUGCGGACAGUGUCUGGUGGGUAGUUUGACUGGGGCGGUCUCCUCCUAAAGAGUAACGGAGGAGCACGAAGGUUGGCUAAUCCUGGUCGGACAUCAGGAGGUUAGUGCAAUGGCAUAAGCCAGCUUGACUGCGAGCGUGACGGCGCGAGCAGGUGCGAAAGCAGGUCAUAGUGAUCCGGUGGUUCUGAAUGGAAGGGCCAUCGCUCAACGGAUAAAAGGUACUCCGGGGAUAACAGGCUGAUACCGCCCAAGAGUUCAUAUCGACGGCGGUGUUUGGCACCUCGAUGUCGGCUCAUCACAUCCUGGGGCUGAAGUAGGUCCCAAGGGUAUGGCUGUUCGCCAUUUAAAGUGGUACGCGAGCUGGGUUUAGAACGUCGUGAGACAGUUCGGUCCCUAUCUGCCGUGGGCGCUGGAGAACUGAGGGGGGCUGCUCCUAGUACGAGAGGACCGGAGUGGACGCAUCACUGGUGUUCGGGUUGUCAUGCCAAUGGCACUGCCCGGUAGCUAAAUGCGGAAGAGAUAAGUGCUGAAAGCAUCUAAGCACGAAACUUGCCCCGAGAUGAGUUCUCCCUGACUCCUUGAGAGUCCUGAAGGAACGUUGAAGACGACGACGUUGAUAGGCCGGGUGUGUAAGCGCAGCGAUGCGUUGAGCUAACCGGUACUAAUGAACCGUGAGGCUUAACCUUACAACGCCGAAGGUGUUU